GGGCCCGCACAAGCAGUGGAGUAUGUGGUUUAAUUCGAAGCAACGCGAAGAACCUUACCAGGUCUUGACAUCCAACGAAUCCUGUGGAGACACGGGAGUGCCCUUCGGGGAACGUUGAGACAGGUGGUGCAUGGUUGUCGUCAGCUCGUGUCGUGAGAUGUUGGGUUAAGUCCCGCAACGAGCGCAACCCUUGUCAAUAGUUGCUACGCAAGAGCACUCUAUUGAGACCGCCGUUGACAAAACGGAGGAAGGUGGGGAUGACGUCAAAUCAUCAUGCCCCUUAUGACCUGGGCUACACACGUACUACAAUGGCCAAGAACAACGGGAAGCCAAACCGCGAGGUUGAGCGAAUCCCGAAAAAUGGUCUCAGUUCAGAUUACAGGCUGCAACCCGCCUGUAUGAAGAUGGAAUUGCUAGUAAUCGCGGAUCAGCAUGCCGCGGUGAAUACGUUCCCGGGCCUUGUACACACCGCCCGUCACACCAUGAGAGCCGGAGACACCCGAAGUCGUUUGCGUAACCGCAAGGAGCGCGGCGCCGAAGGCGGAGUCGGUAAUUGGGGUGAAGUCGUAACAAGGUAGCCGUAUCGGAAGGUGCGGCU
RNAcentral lists this ribosomal RNA (598 nucleotides) under uncultured bacterium. RNAcentral describes it as "bacterial SSU rRNA". It matches the Rfam family "Bacterial small subunit ribosomal RNA", at positions 917 to 1519 of the family's 1533-position model. The record is from RNAcentral.